Molecule: long non-coding RNA, 2691 nt
Organism: Pongo pygmaeus (Bornean orangutan)
Lineage: Eukaryota; Metazoa; Chordata; Mammalia; Primates; Hominidae
Exons: 6
Source: RefSeq, a predicted model, not a curated record
GAUUCUUCAUGAGGGCAGGAUGCACUGGCCCUCCCUUUUCCUAGGAACAAUAUCAGAGGCCUCAUGAAGCCACUGCCUGCCUGAGUAUAACUCUCUAGUGUUCACGACUCCUGGCCCCAGACAUGAGUGGGCUCCAAAAGUUUCUCCCUGCUUGACAAGCCACACUGUCUUCCCAGCCCCAUCUCUCCUAAUCCUCAGCACUUAGAGCCACAGCUGCGGGAUAUGGCAUGGAGAGAGGGCUUGUAGGGGCUGACCAGGAGCAGUUGUUAGGGAGCCAGCCUGCAGCUCCAGCCAACUUCCAAGCAGAAAUGGGAUCGCAGACAAUGAGAACUCACACUUAUUGGGAUGGCCUGACCCCCUUAAACUCCACUUCAAUCCCAUGAGGGAAGUACAGUACUGGGAUCACCAUCUUACAGAAGAAGAGACUGAGGCUUGAAGAGGUUAAGCCAUUUAUCCAAGGACCUCCAGAAGGAAGCAGUGGUACCUGUCCAACCAGAGGAGGGGUGAAAUGAGGUGGGCAAGGAGACAACCAUCUCCAAGGCAGAGAGCCAGGGAGAGAGCGGAUGAGGUGGGAACCUCCCCCAGCUGCAUCCCAUCUGCCCCGGGCAGGCAGCCAGGCAAGAGGAAGCUGGAGACAGAAUUGCGGCUCCCCAAAGGCCCCUGGGCUGAAAAUCGAGGCAAAAACACUGAGAGGUGUCUGGGGGCUGGCCUGUGGCGGCCUGAGGUCAGGGGCCUGGCCUGGAGCUGCCAGUGCCGCAGGCCCUGCCAGAGAGAGCAGCAGGGCCUGGAGGCUGAGAAUUCAGGCUAGAACACGGAUCAGCAACUCCCAGGCAACCUGGGGCAAGCCCAGGGGUGGCCCAGUGCCCCUCUGUCCAGAGCCCAGAGACUGAAGAAUGCGGGCGCACACAGGAGGCAGCAGGAUCGGUCUCUGCAGGCUUCCCUCAGGGGAGUUCGGAUGCCAGCGGGCAGAGAGAUCAAGAGGGAAGAGAGGAGAGGGGAGUGGCCAGGGAAGGGAUUUGGAUGAGACACCUGAGAACAUCCGCAGGGGGAGGAGGGGAGGAUGGAGAAGCCGGCACAGGCAGCAGGAACAAGCAGAGCCCACAGCCCCUGAUCGAAGAUGAUCUCGUUUCCGGUCUGGCCCCAGCCCUUGGCAGGCCCUGGAGUGGAGCUUCCCUCCAAGAGCGUAAGGCAGGAGUAUUGCAUUUGAAGUUCCUCUUUAUGUUCCCAACCCGCCUCUGCACUCCAGUGGGACAGGAGACUGCAGAAACGGCUGCUGGGGCCCAGAGGGAAAGGCCUCCCACCACUUCCUGUACCUGCGCUGGGGUGGUCCCCCUGCCCUGCACUCCGAGUGGGGAGUUGGUCCUUAACCCAGGAAGGAAUGUGAUCUCUGCCUGCCAAACCACCCUGGUGUUGGGGGCAGCCCACUGCCCAGCUCCCAGGCAAGAAAGCAGUUCCCCAUCACUUCCAGGGAAGGGGCCAGACUGUAGUGGGGCACCCAGGACCCUUCAGAAUCCAGCCUCCGUAUCUUUCCAGUCCUAUCUUUACCACCAGCCCUCUCUGCCACCACUGAGAAUCCCACUAAACAAAGUGAGGGGGGCCCUGGAGGCAGGAAGCCACCGACUCAGCCGGGCUCAGAGAAGGCAACAGGAGAGUUGGCCUUGAACCGUGGUAGACCCUCACAGGGGAGAGGGCAGGGCACUCUGGGCGGGGCAGGGGGUGCUGCUUGCGAAAGGGAGUGGUGUGGAUGGAAAUGCUGAGCUAUCAGUUUGGGGGCAAGGUAGGGGAUGGGGCAGCAAAUGGAUUGAGGGGAGCUGGCAAAUUCUGAAGUCCCCUUUCCUGGUAGGUGGUGAUCACUGCCUCUCUUUGAAAUGCCCUUCCUGCCCACAGGCAGACAGCAGGCUCCAGGUCAAAACCUCCUGCUUCUCUGAGAAGCUCUCCCAUUCUCCUCUCUCCUUUCAAACCUGGCAGCUAUCUGGAUGUCUCUGAUUCCUGUCACCCUGGUUGGUCCAGCCUCUCUCCUCCUGGAUGCUUUGGUAGAAUGAACAUCUAUGUCCAGAGCUUGGGUACAGCCUCUCCCGCUCUCCCAGUGCGGUGGGCUACACUGCACAUCCUACCCGGACCAGCAGCUGGCACCUGCUUCUCCAGGAAGGCCAUCUGGCCAGGAGAGGAGAGGAGCACUGGCCUGGUGCUAGAGCGUUGGACCUCUGACAGCCUGAGUCCCCUACUGCAGCCCCUAUGCCUUUGGCCUUCCCACCUACAUUCUACUUUUAGAAAACCCAGGGCCUCGGCAGCAGAGAGUAGCGUAUUUUGAAAGAGUCCAAAUGGAGCAAGUGGGGAGGGGCAGCGACCGGGCGGGAAGCGCGUCUCCGUUGGAGGGCACUGCUUUGCCCGGAACUCACUAUUCUUUCCCAGUGUUAAUUAUCAAAAUUAACCGAACACUAUAAAUAACCCAACUUGGAGACUUGAAGAGCCUCACUUCUAAUUAAUUCAUUUCCAAUCAAGGCACUUCUACGCCCCCCUACCCUAGAAUCUGACGGAUGGGAACCUCAUUGUGCAGCUUCUUGAAUAUCGAAUCCCACCGUCCCUCUCACUCCUGAGCUGUGAACGCUCAAAGAGAAAAGAGAGAGGGGAGGAAAAAACACUCUGCUUUCUUGGAAGGGGGUAGCCUAUAAAUAACCCCAUAUUGGUGCA